Molecule: long non-coding RNA, 1934 nt
Organism: Oncorhynchus tshawytscha (Chinook salmon)
Lineage: Eukaryota; Metazoa; Chordata; Actinopteri; Salmoniformes; Salmonidae
Source: Ensembl
GUCAUAGUUACCCCCCGAUGAGUGCUCAUCUAAAGACAAAUACAUAUAGAUCUGAUUGCCAUGUAAAAUUAUCCACACAGGUAUCUCGCUAUGAUUUGAAAAUGUGUUGACGGCUCCUAAAGCCAAUCAAUGGCUACCAGGGGCGGAGAGUAGCUUGUCCGUCAGAUUGAUGCUAUAAUGAAUUCAAUAGGGAGGGAGGGGGAGAAUCCAAUCCGGUUUGAGCUAGUUUUUGUUCCAAUGGAACAUUAAGGUUUGCUACGCUGUAAUAGAACGUAGUGUUUGAAUCUUAUACCAACAUACAGUAUUUUUCUUGCUCCGUUUUGGAACAGUUCCCUCUUUAUUUGAACUUAUACGCAAAACAGCCAUGCCUAAAAGGAGCAAAGCAAGCGCUGAUGUUGAGGCAGCAGAGAAUGGAGAAGCCAAAGCUGAGGAAGAGGCACCAGAAGAACCUGAACAGAAAGAGGAAGAAGAGGCGGCCGAAUAACAUCUCUCAAACCACAUCUUUUAUCAGUGCUCCCUGUACCUCUUUUUCUUGUACAAUUCAGGGGUAUAUUUUUAUCGACUAUUUUCUAAAUGCAGGUUUUUUAGUAGUUUGAUUGUAGAAACACAUUUUUUUAUGAAAUAAAAAAUACAAUUUGAGAUGGGGAUUUCAUUGCAUCCCAUGUUUUUACAUCUCUGGAACAAUUACGGUCAUUGUAAAUGUCAACGGUUUUUAUUUUCGAUAUGGGGGAGGGGUGGGAAUGAGACAGGUUACUACACCAAGAACAUGCAAGCACGUCGUUUACAGGAUCUGGUCAAAACAACAGAGAGCUUGUCUGAGAGACUAACAUUCCAUAGGCUAUAUGAGGGAAGGUAUACGUAACCUGCAUUGUGUGGUGGGGAUGAAUUAACUCAAGGGGGAACACAUUGUUUUAUUGUUUAUAAUGAGGAAAACAUUUUAAGGUGUUUAAACUGUGUUCCAUAUGUUAACUCUUGUACUCAUUAUGUUUUUCUUUACCAUUCUGCUCAAUAAACCUAUUCCCUAGUACUGGAGUUCCUCCCUAUCAGGCCUGUGCAUUGGGUGUAAUUGGUUGGCUCUGUUCUGUGAUAGCAUUGCAAUAAAUUUGUAUAGCUGCUAUUAAAAGGGGUUUUCGACUUUCUAUAUGCAGUGUGUAAUGGUACAUUGUGAGUAUGGUAAAAAUGGAAUUGUGUUCUUAGCCAAGCUAAAGAAGUACAUAAGUUAAAUAUACUGACGAUUAUGGUUCCUUGGAUGCUGAGAAACUGUACAUCCAUUUGAGCUGUCAAAUACACAAACCAGCAGUAGCAAUAUUCAUGUGGGGUUUAGGUAUCAAGUACAAGUGUACAGUUCUUUUAUCCUUUGUUUAUAGAUGUAUCUGUGUAAUGAUUGGUAUAAACAAACCAAUAAAAAUUUGGUUGUACUUGUUUUGUUCUUUGUGUGAUGGAAAUGGACAAUGUCUGAAUCCAAAUAAUCAUGUAAAAACUAAAUUAUUUUAGAUGCCAGUUCUGUCCACAUAUGUAAUGCAGUAGCUAAAUAAUACCAGUUCUGAGACUGACAUGAAAAACGUUACUUGGUUAUUAGACUCCUGUCAGACUCAUUCCAUGGGCACAUUGUUUUCACUCCACCCAUUAGAAUGCAAUUUUGUGUGGCUCCAAUAUGUUUUUUGGGGGGAAAAUAUUGUGAAACUAUCUUUCCACUAUUACUGUAGAUACUGUAUAUUAAGGACAUUUCCUGAAAUUACAAUGCAAACAUAUAGCUAAUUUAAGUACCGUAGGGCUGCAAGAAAGAAACUCACCAUAUAUUCAGUACAUUAAGAAGUGUGUAUCACACCUAGAACAAAGGCUAGCACAUAUACUAAACAAAAAUAUGAACGCACCAUGUAAAGUGUUGGUCUCAUGUCUCAUGAGCUGAAAUAAAAGAUCCCAGAAAUGUUCCA